GUCAAUAAAAAAAAUCUGAAAAGUCUGGUUGCCAUGGAAACCACGUGACAUCAUAUGUAUAUAUUAGUAUAGCAAGGAGAUAUGGCUAACAUUGUAUUUUAUGGUAAAAAUGAGAUAAAGCAUAACAUGUUUUGUUAUUUUCAUGGGUAUAAGUAAUGAUUUCAAUCAUUUAAACUGCUAACUGACAAAUUUUUCGAAUAGAAACAGUUUUUUGGUACAUAAGGUGGUCCAUUUGACACAAAAAUCGGCAUGAUUUUUGCCGAUUUUUGUCAUUUUUUAAGUCUGAUUUUACCGAAAACGCAGAAAUCCUCACAUUAAA
RNAcentral lists this long non-coding RNA (319 nucleotides) under Mytilus galloprovincialis (Mediterranean mussel). Lineage: Eukaryota; Metazoa; Mollusca; Bivalvia; Mytilida; Mytilidae. The record is from RNAcentral.